Molecule: non-coding RNA, 29 nt
Filed under: Mus musculus (house mouse)
Lineage: Eukaryota; Metazoa; Chordata; Mammalia; Rodentia; Muridae
Source: RNAcentral
UGGUACAUUUCGGUUAGCAUUGCGCAGGU